Molecule: RNA transcript, 6227 nt
Organism: Penaeus monodon (black tiger shrimp)
Lineage: Eukaryota; Metazoa; Arthropoda; Malacostraca; Decapoda; Penaeidae
Exons: 44
Source: RefSeq, a predicted model, not a curated record
CUGGGUGAUCAGAGUCCAGCGGCAGAUAAGGCCUGAGAAGCAAACGCUCUCUGGACACCCAGGAACCAAGGGUAUUAUCCUAGGAAAGACCACUUGCCUUCAAAGACAGCAAGAUGGCGUUCGGCACGAGACAACUUCUCGUGUUGGUGCUCCUUGCGGCCAUAUUUUACUGGGUCGACAGCACACCAGUUAGAGGCGGCGAACAAGAUACCACGGAAGACAUCCAAAAUGAAGAUUUGGAAACUGCCAACGAUGAUCAGGACUCUGGAAUGUUUGGUCGCUUGUGGUCCAGCUUUAGUACCCUUACCACUCUAACAAAGGGUGCUACAGACGAAAGGUUGUUUCGCUUCCGCCAAAAUCUCUUGAACACUUGGCACAACAGUGUUUCAUCACUAACAAAAGCUAGCAAGAGAUACCGCCGAAGUUUAGAAGAUGGAAUAACGACCGAUACAGAGGGCUACUGGAUGCUUACUGAUCUUCAAUCAAGUGUCCACCCCCGACUAAGCACGUUUAGUGCUCCUUCUGGGAUGAAUUCUUUCGUUAUGUUUGAGCACCAGUCUUUCCUGGUGUGGUUAACCACUUACGGCACUGGAAUAAGCGUCUACCUCCUCUCUAUUGCCAAUGAUUCGCUGCAGCAGGCUUCGGUUGUCAGCACAGGUGCAUCAAAAUGUAUACCUGUAAUGAAGGCUACUUCAUUCAUUGAAAUAGUCUGUGCAGAAAGUGUAUCUGAAACGGAUCGGAUUGGAAGUAGUGUAUACAGAAUAACUUGGAGCAAUGGCCUCAAACUAGAAUUCUUAAGGGCCUUGCCAACGCAGGCAGCAAGAGAUGUAGCACUCUGGGGAAUUGGCAAUGAUGUGUUUUUGGCCUUUGCAAAUUCCUUCGACUCUACAACAAACAGCAUGGAGUGCAUUAGUAAUGUAUUCCAACUAGAGACUGCUGUAACUUCGAAAGGCACUUACACUAACUACGACAAGCUAGACACUGCCGAUUUCUUUACAAAGAGUGCGCGUAGCCUAGAGGCCUUCAAGAUCAUGACUAGGCAGUUUGUAGCAGUGGCAAACCAUAUGGAUGAUAAAAGCAAUGUGGAGAUAGACAGUGAGAUCUUCAUCUACGACGUCCAUUAUGCACGAAUGAGGCCUUUCCAACGCAUCCGGACCAGUGCUGCUAGGGACUGGGCUGCUUUCCACUUUUCAAAUGGAAAGAAAUCGGAGCACUUCUUAGCAGUUGCUAAUGAAUAUAGCCUUGAUGCAAGUGGCAGGAAAAACUACAACAUAGACUCGGUCAUCUAUAGGUAUGAUGAAGCCAGCGAGAAAUUCUUGCCUUUCCAGUGCAUUCCAACCCAAGGUGCAUACCAGUGGAUAACUUACAAGGGAGAGCAUGGUGAAGUGCUGCUGGGUGUUGUGAAUAGCGCAUCGGGUGUAGCCUUCUACCAAUACAAUGGGUGGCGCUUCGUCAGGAUAAAUAUACCCUUGUCGGCUCCAGGAGUAGAAUGGGCAUGGAUUGGCAACCUGCCAAACACCUUAAAUAAGGCACUCUUCAUGAUGUCGACAAGCCAGGCUAAUCCACGACCAGCUUCUUCUUACCUAGAGUUUACAUACCAGAAUCCACUUGGGACCUACCACAAUGCUACUGCUGAAUGGUGCUCAGCAUACAAGACUGAAAUGGCCAAUGAUGGGUUGUCACAACUUGUUCUGGAUGUACAACAGGCCCCCAAAACCACCGAAAGCCAUACUUUCACGAAACCUGUACACAUCGAUGGCAGCCUGACUCUUCCUGCAGGCUCGGCAGUUUCGGAAGUGAAAGAUAUCCUCUGCCAAUCUGAAUCCAUGGCAGUGGACUACAAGUUCCAUGCAGACACAAGGACGCUAAUUGAUGACCGGAAGGCUCUCGAAGUUCGGCUUGCAGGAGUUGCCAACACCGUCUCCCAAUCCAGAUCCAUUAACAACCCAGACUUGGAUGGACUUCACUUUGCUCACCUGGUUACUACAUGCAGUACACCAGGAUGUGUUGCCAGUACAGUUGACUCUCUAACGGCAGACACGGUCAAUGGUGUUGUAGCCUCUUAUGACGGUGUUGCCCUAUUGAACAACACAAAUGUGAAGCUCAACCUAACCUUUGCUGAAGUAGCAGUGGCAGGAGGUGCUCUAGCAAUUGUAGAAAACGUCAAGGCUGAUAAUACGGCUGUUAUUCCCAUGAAUGAGCUGGUAACCCUCCACCAGGACCACACCAUAACUGCAGAUGUUGCUUUUGACAAGGUUCUGGUUGAUAACCUGCAAGUCUCUGGUACAGUCGAUGCAUUGACUGUGGACGAUUCUACUCUUUCUACUGACCUAUGGUGAACAACUGUAAAUGGACUGGUAACGGUAGAUGGUGCUGAUAGUACACUAAUAAGUACUACCAAUGUCAAUGGCAGAAACUUCGAUGAUUUUGUAGCAUCUCUCAUUGUGAAUGGAACCAGAUACUUUUGAAGGACUGCUGGAAGUAGGUGAUGAUCUAAUAGCGCCCAACAUAGAUACUGUGGAAAGCAUGACGCCCCUUAACCCUGUAGAUGUUAAGGCCCGUGCACUCCUCCACACAACAACAAACACCCAAGUUGUUACUGGACUCCAUAGUGUUGGCAGCCUGGAGGCAGUUAAUGGAGUUUGGUUUGACAAUCUGAAUGGUGUUCUAGUACCAGAUGAGGUAUUCCUGAAGGAUGAAACGGUGACUGUCUCUGUUCCCACCACUUUCGACUCUAUCUCGGCUCAGAGUAUUCAAGUAACAAAUGCCAUAAACGAUGUGAAGCAAGUGGGAGGUAGCUUGGAAUUCCUCUUGCUUAACAAAGAUGCAACACUGUCAAAGAAGACUUUCACCAGUCUCACACUAGAGAAGGACUCUACUGUGGCCAAGCUAGUGGCUGGUUAUGACUUGGAUUACCUAGCAACAGGACUUCAUGAACAGUUCUUGAAGGAUCUUAAUGCUGGAAGAGCUGUGAACGGCUCGGUGAUCUUCGAUAAAGAACUAGAUGUUACUAGUGAUAAGAUCCAUGGUGUUAGUAUUGGCAAGAUCAGGGAUACAGCAGUUCCCCUCACUGCCACAAGCUUGAAUACUGCUCUGACCUUUGAAAAACCUGUCCAGAUUGCUGGUGCUUUGACUGUUUCGUCUACCAUUAACGGAGUUGGAAAGGAUGACUACGUACUCUUGGAUUCUGACCACACCAUUGUCUCUCCAAAGACCUUUGUUUCGGAUAUGGAGUGUCGUGAUGAUGUGACGGCAGGACUAGUCAGUGGUUAUGACCUUGCCAAGUUUGCAACUGAUGUAGUACUCAAGAAGGGCUCUGCACAGAACAUUCUACAAGACUUGUCAAUGACGUCAGCAGAUGUGAAUGGUGACCUGAAUGUAGCUGGCCAAAUAACCAUUGGUGGUGUAAACUUUGAUAGUGUCGUCGCUCUUAAUGCAACUGAAACCGUGAGAGGCAAAGACUUCACAGAGGUUGAAGUAACUCUUCAACAUCUGCUGGUGCUGUUAUGUGGGUAACUUUGAACAGUUGAUGGUGUAGUGAUCAAAGAAAUUUUUCUUUGACGACAGCCUGAGGAAAUCUGUGUCAACAACCCAGGAGUUGGUUGGUAGGAACAUGGUUACAAUAGUAGCACAAAAUGCUGAAGGAACGGACCUUUCAGCCUUUGAAAGGAAGGUUGUGUACAAGGAUACAACCGAGACCAUUUCUGGUGGUUUACAUUUGAAGGCUCGGUUUCGGUUGAUACUCUUCACUUCGAAAGAGACUUUGAUGGUGUAUCAGAACAAGCAUACAAGUCUGCUUGGCUUCUAAAUGAAGGUCCCCAGACCCUAACUGGAGUGAACUCUCUUGCCAAUGUUGAUGCAUCUGCUGUGACCUUCCAAGGAACAUACAUAGAUAAUGUAGAUAUUGGUCGCUUGCAUACAAUGACUGCAAAGAUUGAUGAACAGACCAACCCUGAAUUCGACAAACAUUGUUGAGGUGGAGUCAUUAUCUCCAAUUACCUUGGAUGGAACUAUCCAAGGCUGGCAUCUUCAUGAGCAGGCCUUGCAGUCUUCCUCAACACAUCAAAGGGUUACUGGCAGGAAGAAGUUUACAAAACCCAUACACAUUAAAAACAGUAUUGCUGUAAAUGACUUUGUCAUUGUUCCUAAAGUGGGUGGUGGAGAACCCCUGGUGCUUGAAAUGAGCCAAUUCUGUAGCUCUUUCAUGCAGAAUGGAAAGGUCAUGGGAGACCUUGUAGUAAACGGUAAUGCUGUGUUCAAUAAGGACUUGGCUAUCAGCAACUCCUUCAACAAUGAGAACGUGGCAACCCUUGCCAGUGUGUUUUGGCUGAGUGACAUGGAUAACACAGUAUCUAGUGUAAAGGACAUCGAUAGUGCCAAAGUCACUGGGAAUGCACACAUCAUAAUGAAGGGCUUGAUAAAUGGUGAAGACUUCUCUACCUUGUCAGAAGAAGUACUGAAGAACACUUGUAAAGAACAAAGGGUAACUGCAUCUUGGAAUCUGGCUAACCUUGAAGCUUCUAGCUUGCAAGCAGACACUGUAACAAAUCCUCUACAGGAUUCGGAUGUGUUUGAGCUUGAAAGAAUCCUGAGGACAGACAAGAUGCAGACCAUUUCUGGUGCAAAGACCUUCCCAGAAGUCCAAGUAACAGGAUCUGUGGCUCUUGAUGGAACCUCAAUGGACUGGAUGUGAAGACCAAUUUAGUCAGUAGGUAAGAGUGCUGAAAUAACUGCUGAAAAGACUUUCAAUCAAAAGCUGACCAUAAAAGGAGACUUGUCCAUGGGCAGUGGUAGCACUGUUCAGGGUGUUGAUGUAUCGGCAUUUGAAGAAUCUGCUGUACUACAUAAUGACAGUGGCAUUACAAAGCCUGUUAGUGGAAUUACUACCUUCAAAGGCUUGACCUUGAAAAACCUAGAAGUUGGUGGUACUGUUGAUGGUGUACAGGUAGAUAGUAAUACUAUUCUCCUGACCACUGGAGCAACAAAAUGUAGCUGGCUUGGUCACUGUAUCUGUACCUGACAAGACAAGGAAACACACCCUUGAUUUAAAUGGGGGUCUUCUAGAAGAGGGCCCCAAAAGCUUCACAAGCUCAAAGGUACUUAGGAAAAAGGCAACGACCUCUGGGAUUUAUGAAACAAGUUCCAGGAAAAAAAUGUCAAACUACAACCAGCACGUAAGUAAAGUGUUGUACUCUGGUUAUUUGACCUUUUUAUUCACAAGCCAUGUCUUAAUUUCCAAUAUUCAUAGGUUGUCAAAUCCCUUGGGACACAACUCUGUUGAUGCUUUUGUUGGCCUGAACUGGGAUGAUACAAGUGUCCAGAUAUAUGGGCCCGAGCUUGGAAGAAGAUCCUUAGCUGAUGAACUAAAGGACCUCUGUGAAGAGAAGGAACAUUUGGAUGUGUUGUCAGCUUUCCCACCCACCAAGUGCAGUAUUAGUGUUCCUAAAGCAACUGUAGCUGCUGGCUUUGGGAAGCAAUCACUUGGCUGUAUGUGGCAACUCGCUUGUAACUUUCCCAUAUACAGCUUCGUCAACUACCAACAGAUUUCAGAUGAGCUGGGCCAAGGAACUCCUAUGGCCACAUCUUCUCCAUUAGUCCAGUCGAAACUGUUGUAUCCUUCAGUACCAUACAUGCAGAGACCUAGUGGUUUAUCCACUCAGGCAUUCCACUUGCAUAAUGGUAAGGACUGCUUGGCAGUGAUUGAUCAUGAAACCUCCUCUGCUGUGAUUUGUGGAACUGCACCAACAGGAUACAGGCUACUGAACUACCUGGGAACUAGUCGUGCAGUUGAGGCAGCAGCAUUUACCUUGGGGAAAACUUACCUGGUUGUGCUGGAAGAUGAUUCCUUCAGCUCUUCCUCAAAUUUGAAGACUUUCAAAUAUGAUGCGGGUACAAACGCUAUGGCUCUGGAGUUCAACCAUGACCUAAAAAAGGCUUCACACCUUGAUGCCCUGGCUGGCAAGAAUGAAGCAUAUGUAGCAGUGACUCACAGCUCCUCCCCUAUUGCUACAGGGGUUUGACAUAUUCACAUUAAGGAUAAAUCUGGUUCUGUGGAGAGGGAGAAAAUGCAGACCUUGAAGGUGCCUGGUGCUUUGGCAAGUAACUUUGGAGAAUUGACCAAGUAUGAUUGGGUCUCUUCACCCAGACUGAGCAUGGUGUUCAUGUGUAUGUUUUAAAGGGGAAUGCAGUUCGUGUACGAAAGGAUGGGGAAAGCCUACAGGAGGUAG